This 658-nucleotide ribosomal RNA is filed under the name Streptomyces sp. Its description in RNAcentral is "bacterial SSU rRNA". It matches the Rfam family "Bacterial small subunit ribosomal RNA", at positions 76 to 749 of the family's 1533-position model. The record is from RNAcentral. Lineage: Bacteria; Bacillati; Actinomycetota; Actinomycetes; Kitasatosporales; Streptomycetaceae.
CCCUUCGGGGUGGAUCUAGUGGCGAACGGGUGAGUAACACGUGGGCAAUCUGCCCUGCACUCUGGGACAAGCCCUGGAAACGGGGUCUAAUACCGGAUAUGACCUUCCUCCGCAUGGGGGUGGGUGUAAAGCUCCGGCGGUGCAGGAUGAGCCCGCGGCCUAUCAGCUUGUUGGUGGGGUAAUGGCCUACCAAGGCGACGACGGGUAGCCGGCCUGAGAGGGCGACCGGCCACACUGGGACUGAGACACGGCCCAGACUCCUACGGGAGGCAGCAGUGGGGAAUAUUGCACAAUGGGCGAAAGCCUGAUGCAGCGACGCCGCGUGAGGGAUGACGGCCUUCGGGUUGUAAACCUCUUUCAGCAGGGAAGAAGCGCAAGUGACGGUACCUGCAGAAGAAGCACCGGCUAACUACGUGCCAGCAGCCGCGGUAAUACGUAGGGUGCGAGCGUUGUCCGGAAUUAUUGGGCGUAAAGAGCUCGUAGGCGGCCUGUCGCGUCGGAUGUGAAAGCCCGGGGCUUAACCCCGGGUCUGCAUUCGAUACGGGCAGGCUAGAGUGUGGUAGGGGAGAUCGGAAUUCCUGGUGUAGCGGUGAAAUGCGCAGAUAUCAGGAGGAACACCGGUGGCGAAGGCGGAUCUCUGGGCCAUUACUGACGCUGA